RNAcentral lists this unclassified non-coding RNA (409 nucleotides) under Hevea brasiliensis (rubber tree). Lineage: Eukaryota; Viridiplantae; Streptophyta; Magnoliopsida; Malpighiales; Euphorbiaceae. The record is from RNAcentral.
GAUAGGCAACUUUAUAAUCGGCAGGUGAAACCUACUCUCUGUUAAUUUGUAGCCAUUUCUCUUCAAAAAUUGCUUCUUAAUCUGGCAUAAAAAAUUGUACCAUUUAUCCAUAUUUAGUCCACUUCAUAAUCAUCUCAGCCAAUGUGAAUUGAUUUUCUACCAUUCCUAGGCAAGCAUGGAUUACUUUCUAUUGUUUCAAUGGUAUGCAUACAAAAAAUAUAUAUAUAUUUUUUAUUCAACCAAACAUUUUUUGUUAGCCCAAUAAAUCUUAAGUGCAUGACAGUGAUGUAUGAGUUUGUGAAUAUUUGGGGCAAAUUGUGAAUAUUUGGGCAAAAUAUGUGAAAGGUCUUGAGGACUAAUCCUUUGUAAUUAUGGAUUCUUCUUAUGAGCAGAUAUACCCGCCUAUUAA